Molecule: long non-coding RNA, 1364 nt
Filed under: Hordeum vulgare
Lineage: Eukaryota; Viridiplantae; Streptophyta; Magnoliopsida; Poales; Poaceae
Description: long non-coding RNA (HVUL_LNC009466)
Source: RNAcentral
AAAAUGAAUAUAAGUUUCAAAGAAAACCAUAAUAUCACAACUAUCCAUUUGCCCGUUGAAAUAGUUAACCAGUACAUUCAAAACAAGAUUGGCCAAACAAUUAAGAAACUACAAGAAUCAAGGCAAAAUGGUACAUCACUGAAUUUCAAAUAUAACCUAAAUGGCGGAUACAUUAGGAGCCAUCCUAAAAUAAUCACCCCGCAUCGUGUCAUCUGACUUGAACUUGGAAACUUGCUUGUCGCUUUAGGAGAGAAAAAAAUAAUGUAGCUGGUAAGAGCCCUCCAGGAAAGAUAAAAAAAAUGAUUACUGCUGACCAUUAUCAAUAUGCUCUCUAAAUUAGACAAAAAACAACAUAGAAAGGCACAUGCUUGUGAGCAACAAUGUAGGCAUUCAAGCAGGGAUGGAUUUAUUUUUUUUGCUUCAUCCGGUAAAAAGCUUCUUUGUGGUCCAAUUUGAGAACGGAAACAAGAGUAUGUGGCGGCUCUGCCUGCUACUUUACAUAGUAUACACCAAAUAAUCAAAAUGGUAAAUUAGUUUCCAUGCAUACAGGAUAGUGCGAGUAAGAGUGAAAACUAAAGUGCACUUCUAAUGUUACCUGCUUAAUGCCCUACGUGGAGGAUACUUCACCUGGUUCCCAAAAAUGGAAAAUCAAAGUAAAGAGUAAGUAGGCCUUUUCCUGCUACUUGAUCAACGGAAUAUAAAUAAGAAUGUUGUCGCCUUGGUACGGUUUAGAGAGAAGCAUGUUUCGGUUUGGUUUCCUGCAGAUAAAACUCAUAAACUAUUCUGCAUUCCAUGAAUAGAAAGAUUAAUAUUGUAGUCCUGAAAUACAGUGUCGCAAUUGAGCAACACAACUGCGAUUAAACGGCUAAGUUCUCCACCUUUGCACCAUUGCCAGAAUUUAUACUCUAAUCACCAAACAAAAUGGAAAACAAGGUUAAGAGUGAUUAUGAUACAAAGAUGAGGAGCUCGUGUUCUUCUUGUUACAGAAACAUGUUGGGGAACAACAGCACGGGAAUGCAAGCCAUAACAAAGCCUUGAAUAUUCGUUUAGAAAUAUCUGUUUGAUGCAAAAACUGACCGAUCAUCACAACUGCCGAUUACUGCUACAAAUAUAAUGAACAUGCACGAAGAAAAUCAACAGCUCGGUUAUACAUUUAUCUUAUUAUGUCUGAUCAUGACUGAUCAUUUACUGCUAGGAACAUAACAUCACACAAAAGUUUCUAUUUUGCUAUCAACAUCACAGGAUCCUUACCUGAUACGCGUGGCGCCGACGUCCGCCGCUUCCCCCCAUUCCUCGCCUCCCGGAGCGCUGCCGCCGUCGUCCUCCGUCGUGUCCCAAUCGGAUCGGGAGCGCCGCCGCUCGAU